RNAcentral lists this ribosomal RNA (614 nucleotides) under uncultured soil bacterium. Its description in RNAcentral is "bacterial SSU rRNA". It matches the Rfam family "Bacterial small subunit ribosomal RNA", at positions 20 to 631 of the family's 1533-position model. The record is from RNAcentral.
AUGCGCAAUACCCCUGGCCGGCAUCCUUCCCAUGCUAUGCUUGAGCGGCAGCGCUGGGGGCACCCUGGCGGCGAGCUGGCGCACUGGGUAUAUGCAUCCGGAACGUGUCCUCUUGUGGGGGAUAACCAGUCGAAAGACUGGCUAUACCGCAUGAGCACGAGAGUGGAAAGCGGGGGACCGUAAGGCCUCGCGCGAGAGGAGCGGCCGAUGCCGGAUUAGCUAGUUGGCGGGGUAAUGGCCCACCAAGGCGACGAUCCGUAGCUUGUCUGAGAGGACGACCAGCCACACUGGGACUGAGACACGGCCCAGACUCCUACGGGAGGCAGCAGUGGGGAAUUUUGGACAAUGGGGGCAACCCUGAUCCAGCCAUGCCGCGUGUGUGAAGAAGGCCUUCGGGUUGUAAAGCACUUUCGGACGGAACGAAAUCGCGCGGGCGAACAUCCCGCGUGGAUUACGGUACCGUAAGAAGAAGCACCGGCUAACUACGUUGCCAGCAGCCGCGGUAAUACGUAGGGUGCGAGCGUUAAUCGGAAUUACUGGGCGUAAAGUGUGCGCAGGCGGACGCGCAAGUCGAGUGUGAAAGCCCCGGGCUUAACUUGGGAAUUGCGCUCGAA